UAGCCUUGACAUUGAAGAAACACACUAGAGAUAGAGUGGUGCCCUUCGGGGAAUCUGAAAACAGGUGCUGCACGGCUGUCGUCAGCUCGUGUCGUGAGAUGUUGGGUUAAGUCCCGCAACGAGCGCAACCCUCGUCCUUAGUUGCCAGCAGGUUAAGCUGGGCACUCUAAGGAGACUGCCUUCGUAAGGAGGAGGAAGGUGAGGACGACGUCAAGUCAUCAUGGCCCUUAUGGCUAGGGCUACACACGUGCUACAAUGGGGCGUACAGAGAGUUGCGAUACCGUGAGGUGGAGCCAAUCUCAUAAAGCGUCUCUCAGUUCGGAUUGAAGUCUGCAACUCGACUUCAUGAAGCUGGAAUCACUAGUAAUCGUAGAUCAGCAAUGCUACGGUGAAUACGUUCCCGGGUCU
This 408-nucleotide ribosomal RNA is filed under the name uncultured bacterium. RNAcentral describes it as "bacterial SSU rRNA". It matches the Rfam family "Bacterial small subunit ribosomal RNA", at positions 976 to 1381 of the family's 1533-position model. The record is from RNAcentral.